CUCAUGUCCGCGACUUUGUCCGCGUGGACUACACAAAUUUCAAACGCCUAUUUUACCCUCUUAGGGGUCGAAUUUUUACGAAUCCUUUCUAAUUGGACGUUAACAUCCUAGUAGCUAUCUAAAUAACAAAUUUCAGCCCGACCCGUCAAGUAGUUUGAGCUGUGCAUUGAAAGAUUAGUCAAUUUAGCUUUUCCUGUUAUGAUAUUUAGA
Long non-coding RNA from Maniola jurtina (meadow brown), 210 nucleotides. RefSeq lists it as uncharacterized. NCBI's taxonomy places the organism in Eukaryota, Metazoa, Arthropoda, Insecta, Lepidoptera, Nymphalidae. The transcript is spliced from 3 exons. The record is from RefSeq and is a predicted model, not a curated record.